GUGUAUUCCAACGGGAACGCCACGGUGUCUCCGCUGAAGUUAUUCGGAGGAUUAAAUUUUGCUUCGUACACACGACAGUGUCUGGGCUUUAGCUGCGCGGUCUUUUCCUGGACCAAAAUCCUGUUCCAGAGUCCCUCUGAAGCUCCCUCAAAGAAAUCUUCAGAAUCCUUACCGACCACAUGAAAACUUCCAGAAGUAUUUUUAAUUGCCUUUACUAAAGAGGCCUGUUAAUGGUUUAGUUUACAUUGGCUAGUGACAUCAGAAGAAGAUGUUAGAUGGGUGUAGCAGCAGAUGUUAAAAAUAGUGAGGCCACAUCCUGCACCUCAGCUGAUGACAGAAAUCGUGACGAGCUGUUAUUUCUGCUUCAGAAAUCCACAAAGUACCCUCAGCAUAACUGCCUGAGUGCCAUCGGGAUGAACACUCACCCAGAUUUCCUGGAAGAGUAUCAAAGCUGUCUCAGCUCUGAUACAUUUGUUUGGCAGCGAUCUGUCCCACUCACUCCGUGAGAUUUCAGUCACUCAGCAGGCACCGUGUCACCACUUCUCCAGCUCUGGAACUGGGAGCUUGACAAAUGCAGCUCUUUGAAGACAUUAAGAGAUGUCACCAUGCUCUGAACAAACAAGAUGGGAGCAAGAAAAUAAGUAAAUUGAACAAGAAAAAAAAAAGUAAAUAAAAUAAAGUAAAUAAA
This is a long non-coding RNA of Haemorhous mexicanus (house finch), 688 nucleotides long. RefSeq lists it as uncharacterized. NCBI's taxonomy places the organism in Eukaryota, Metazoa, Chordata, Aves, Passeriformes, Fringillidae. The record is from RefSeq and is a predicted model, not a curated record. The transcript is spliced from 3 exons.